GAUUCCCUUAGUAGCGGCGAGCGAAACGGGAAGAGCCCAAACCAACAAGCUUGCUUGUUGGGGUUGUAGGACACUCUAUACGGAGUUACAAAGGACGACAUUAGACGAAUCAUCUGGAAAGAUGAAUCAAAGAAGGUAAUAAUCCUGUAGUCGAAAAUGUUGUCUCUCUUGAGUGGAUCCUGAGUACGACGGAGCACGUGAAAUUCCGUCGGAAUCUGGGAGGACCAUCUCCUAAGGCUAAAUACUCUCUAGUGACCGAUAGUGAACCAGUACCGUGAGGGAAAGGUGAAAAGCACCCCGGAAGGGGAGUGAAAUAGAACCUGAAACCGUGUGCUUACAAGUAGUCAGAGCCCGUUAAUGGGUGAUGGCGUGCCUUUUGUAGAAU
RNAcentral lists this ribosomal RNA (385 nucleotides) under Staphylococcus aureus. RNAcentral describes it as "partial 23S ribosomal RNA". It matches the Rfam family "Bacterial large subunit ribosomal RNA", at positions 233 to 616 of the family's 2925-position model. The record is from RNAcentral. Lineage: Bacteria; Bacillati; Bacillota; Bacilli; Caryophanales; Staphylococcaceae.